This 317-nucleotide ribosomal RNA is filed under the name uncultured eukaryote. RNAcentral describes it as "partial 18S ribosomal RNA". It matches the Rfam family "Eukaryotic small subunit ribosomal RNA", at positions 1470 to 1796 of the family's 1831-position model. The record is from RNAcentral.
CCCUUAGAUGUUCUGGGCCGCACGCGCGCUACACUGAUCGGUGCAACAAGCAUCCGUCCUUGGCCGACAGGCCCGGGCAAUCUUUGAACGCCGGUCGUGAUGGGGAUAGACCUUUGCAAUUUUUGGUCUUCAACGAGGAAUUCCUAGUAAACGCAAGUCAUCAACUUGCAUUGAUUACGUCCCUGCCCUUUGUACACACCGCCCGUCGCACCUACCGAUUGAAUGGUCCGGUGAAACCUCCGGAUUGGCGCGUGGCCUCGGGCGCCGCCGAGAAGUUGGUUAAACCUUACCAUUUAGAGGAAGGUGAAGUCGUAACA